Molecule: transfer RNA, 85 nt
Filed under: Microcaldota archaeon
Lineage: Archaea; Nanobdellati; Microcaldota
Description: tRNA-Leu
Rfam family: tRNA
About the family: Transfer RNA (tRNA) molecules are approximately 80 nucleotides in length. Their secondary structure includes four short double-helical elements and three loops (D, anti-codon, and T loops).
Source: RNAcentral
GCAGGGAUAGCCAAGCUUGGUCAAAGGCGCAGGACUCAGAAUCCUGUCGUUUAGACGUUCGCAGGUUCAAAUCCUGCUCCCUGCA